Molecule: ribosomal RNA, 1000 nt
Filed under: bacterium
Lineage: Bacteria
Description: bacterial SSU rRNA
Rfam family: Bacterial small subunit ribosomal RNA
Source: RNAcentral
AGUCGAGGGGUAUAGGGAGCUUGCUUCCUUGAGACCGGCGCACGGGUGCGUAACGCGUAUGCAACCUACCUUUAUCUGGGGGAUAGCCCGGAGAAAUCCGGAUUAAUACCGCAUAAAAUCACAGAAUAGCAUUAUUUAAUGAUCAAACAUUUAUGGGAUGAAGAUGGGCAUGCGUGUCAUUAGCUAGUUGGCGGGGUAACGGCCCACCAAGGCGACGAUGACUAGGGGAUCUGAGAGGAUGGCCCCCCACACUGGUACUGAGACACGGACCAGACUCCUACGGGAGGCAGCAGUAAGGAAUAUUGGUCAAUGGAGGCAACUCUGAACCAGCCAUGCCGCGUGCAGGAAGACUGCCCUAUGGGUUGUAAACUGCUUUUAUCCGGGAAUAAACCUACUUACGUGUAAGUAGCUGAAUGUACCGGAAGAAUAAGGAUCGGCUAACUCCGUGCCAGCAGCCGCGGUAAUACGGAGGAUCCAAGCGUUAUCCGGAUUUAUUGGGUUUAAAGGGUGCGUAGGCGGCCUGUUAAGUCAGGGGUGAAAGACGGUAGCUCAACUAUCGCAGUGCCCUUGAUACUGAUGGGCUUGAAUGGACUAGAGGUAGGCGGAAUGAGACAAGUAGCGGUGAAAUGCAUAGAUAUGUCUCAGAACACCGAUUGCGAAGGCAGCUUACUAUGGUCUUAUUGACGCUGAGGCACGAAAGCGUGGGGAUCAAACAGGAUUAGAUACCCUGGUAGUCCACGCCCUAAACGAUGAACACUCGCUGUUGGCGAUACACAGUCAGCGGCUAAGCGAAAGCGUUAAGUGUUCCACCUGGGGAGUACGCCCGCAAGGGUGAAACUCAAAGGAAUUGACGGGGGCCCGCACAAGCGGAGGAGCAUGUGGUUUAAUUCGAUGAUACGCGAGGAACCUUACCCGGGCUUGAAAGUUAGUGAAUGAUCUAGAGAUAGAUCAGUGAGCAAUCACACGAAACUAGGUGCUGCAUGGCUGUCGUCAGCUCGUG